Ictidomys tridecemlineatus (thirteen-lined ground squirrel) is the source of this 1302-nucleotide non-coding RNA. NCBI's taxonomy places the organism in Eukaryota, Metazoa, Chordata, Mammalia, Rodentia, Sciuridae. The record is from RefSeq and is a predicted model, not a curated record.
CUGAGGUCACCCGCCCGGCCUUAAAGGAGCCUCGCCGCGAAGUCCAGCGCGGCGCGCCGCUCGCUCGGAGGGGGUGACCUGGUUCUCCUGCGGCUCGCACACCAAAAUGGGUCCCCGCAACUCCGCCCAUCACAGAGCUUCCUUGGGCGCCUGGACUUAGAACCACCCGCUACAAAUUCUGUGGCGUCCUAUCGCCGCUUCAAUUCUCUUAACCCUAAUUUCUUCCAAUUGAGCCUGUUUUGAAGGUGAAACUGAAUACAGUGUCUAUUUGUUGCGUGAAAGAUGCGUGUGGAAUUGGGGCGUGAACGUAUACCGAGUGCUGUGUGCAGGAACACGAAACGAAUCGGCAAAGCACGGAAAGCGGAUUUUUCUUCCCGUUCUACUUAGCUGCGCUUCGUUCCUGCCCCUCCUCGCUCUAGGUGGCCCGACCUGCCACACUCUGCAGGGUCUCACUAAGUUGACCAGAUGGCCUUGAACUCGCAAACCUCCUGCCUCAGCUUCCUGAGUUAACUGGCAUUACAGGUACAGAAUGAUUCCCCCUCAGUGUCCAAGAGUUUGCUCCAUUGUCCCCCACCUUGGACGCUCCAGGCUUGGAACUCUGAAGAAUAGGGACUCAGGUGGGACUCCUCUGGGUCCUCCCAGGCCCAGCUCAUGAAGGUGCACAGACAAAAAGCCUGCCCCUCUGCUGGGUGCCAGAGGCGGAGGGGAGUUUGGCUGCAUUCAGAAGCUGCUCACGGGUGACAGUUCCGAGUGCUCAAGGCAGAAGUGAGGCCCAAGUCCAGCUGUCAGCUUUCCCUCCUUGCCAAGUCCAGAGCAGCCCGGAGGAAGAGCAGAGGCCUGGGAGAGGCAAGCUCCUGAGUGGCCUGUGGCCCAGACCACUCCCAACUCAUUUACCUACAGCCACAGUGUCUCCCCCAAGGUCCCCAGGGUGCUGUAGGGCACCUAGCUGGGUGUCUGUCUGGUCUGUGGGUGGGUAGCCAGAGCACAGGCUCUGCCCCCUUCCUUCCCAGCUGUGUGAUCUCAGGUGUGUGGCUUUGCCUCUCUGAGCCUCAGUUUCCCCAUCAAUAAUUGGAUCGUAAGAAUGACUCAUCUGGCAGGAUUGUCCUGAUAAGUAUCUAUGAAAACAUUGACUGACCAUCAAGCCACGGCCUACAGAAGCCUCAACUAACAUCUGAAUUAGACCUUUUUGGUGGCAAUGAACUAAAAUCAAAAUUAAGCCAGGUGCAGUGUUGCACAUCUGUAAUCCCAGCUCCUCGGGAGGCUGAGGCAGGAAAUGACAAGUUUGAGGCCAGCCUCGGCCAC